RNAcentral lists this unclassified non-coding RNA (633 nucleotides) under Hevea brasiliensis (rubber tree). Lineage: Eukaryota; Viridiplantae; Streptophyta; Magnoliopsida; Malpighiales; Euphorbiaceae. The record is from RNAcentral.
GGCAAUUGUCAGAAAGUGAUGCCCAGGAAAGAUUUAAAGCAAAAUUCAACAAUCUUAUCAUAUCAGGGUGCAGGCAAAUAAGGAACCUGUGAAUUAUGAAAUAUUCAACUCUGCACUCAUUCCCUUAGUGCUCUACUGUCACUGUAUCUAAUAUCUAAUAAUACCAUAAAUGGUAAAAUGCCAUCGCCGCUAAAGGUAGUGCACAACAUCAAAGCAUCAUUUAACACAACGGUAACUGACAAGGGAAUCAACAAGUCCACCGCCGUAAGUAAUUUUCACCACCUGCCCCUUCUCCAAUCCAUAAUAUCGUGCAAUAGCAUCAGUUUCUAGCAUCCUUGGCAACUGCUUGUCUUCAGUCUUAUACUUGUUCAACAGCUGUUGCUUCAGUUCAGCAGUCAAUAUCUCAUGCGUUGGCUGUAUAACAUGCUUGGUGAUAUUCAACAGCAAUUCAGUGAUUUGAAAAAUCUCAACUUUACAUUGCAAUUUAUCCAACUCUUUUCGUGCAAAAUGGUUCAUUUUGCUUUGCAAGAUGAGCAUCAACCCAUGUAAACUUUCUUUGUUUGGAAUAUGGCUAAGAAGACCACGUAUAGCUGCCGUUCUGAUCUCAUCUGACCCCAGGAAGACAACCAGUAU